CAAGCUUCCUUUCCAGGAGCUCAGGGCCCUACUGGGGAAGGGGCUUUCAGCCCUGGUCCUCCCUAGACUCUUCUGUUCACACAUCCUCUGUGGCUCCUCAUUAGGCCGGCCCUGAUUUAGGCCUCGAGCAUCUCCAAAUCCCUCAGAGCUUCGCUGACUGAUACGGGAACCACUAACCUGGUGUGGUGACUUCAUUAGAAUGGCUCCCGUCUUCCCACGUCUCCUCUGAUCUUCCAAGGGGGAUCCAGCCCAUUUCACAGGAGAAUAUACCGAGGCCCAGGGGGGCAAAGCCACACACGGGAGGAAUCAGUUUGAACCUGGUGGUGUUGGACUCCCAGCUCUGAGCUCACCCCUGUGCCCACCGCAGAGUCAGGGGACAGGCUGGCCUGGUGCCUUCCACCUCCUCCUACCCGCCACCCCACCCAUGGAACCGGCUCACCCCUGGCGUGGGUGACAAUAUAUGGGUCAGGGUGUGCCCCAGGCAGUCCCACCGGGCCCUGGGGUGACAGCUUUGAGGAGGACUACAGAGGUGAAGUGCUCUGCUUGUCACACCAAGUCCACAGGACAUGCCAUGGGUAUGACUCUUCACUAUGAUGUUGACCUGGAUCACCUGCCUGAAGUGGCCUCUGUCAAGUGUCUCCACUGUGGAGCGACUCUCUUCCUCCUGUUGAUGCUGUGCCCUAUGGAAGGAAGUCACCAUGGGCCACCCACACACAAUGGAUGGGGAGUCACACUUCUCCCCACAAAUUAUUCUGAAUUCCUCUCUUCUCCCUGUUUAUCUCUUUGAUCAUUCACAUCAGUAUGGACUUAUGAAUAUUUAUUUUGUAUGUUGAGUUAAAAUCUAAUAUUACUUUA
Canis lupus familiaris (dog) is the source of this 855-nucleotide long non-coding RNA. RefSeq lists it as uncharacterized. Lineage: Eukaryota; Metazoa; Chordata; Mammalia; Carnivora; Canidae. The transcript has 4 exons. The record is from RefSeq and is a predicted model, not a curated record.